GAGUUAAUGACACAGUUGCCCACUUUUUUGCCUGCUCUCUUUGAAGCAUUUGGACAUCAGAGUGCUGAUGUAAGGAAGACUGUUGUCUUCUGUCUUGUUGACAUCUACAUAAUGCUUGGGAAACAAUUUUUGCCACAUUUGGAAGGACUCAACAGCACUCAACUACGUUUGGUUACAAUUUACGCCAAUCGAAUUUCGCAAGCUAGGACGGGAACCACCAUUGAUG
Molecule: unclassified non-coding RNA, 226 nt
Filed under: Hevea brasiliensis (rubber tree)
Lineage: Eukaryota; Viridiplantae; Streptophyta; Magnoliopsida; Malpighiales; Euphorbiaceae
Source: RNAcentral